GGUUAGUCCUAGUGCAGUGGUGUUUACAACUAAUUGAUCACAACCAGUUACAGAUUCCUUUGUUCCUUCUCCACUCCCACUGCUUCACUUGACCAGCCUUAA
This 102-nucleotide Y RNA is filed under the name Prolemur simus (greater bamboo lemur). Its description in RNAcentral is "Y RNA (ENSPSMG00000020434.1)". It matches the Rfam family "Y RNA". From Rfam's summary of the family: Y RNAs are components of the Ro ribonucleoprotein particle (Ro RNP), in association with Ro60 and La proteins. The Y RNAs and Ro60 and La proteins are well conserved, but the function of the Ro RNP is not known. In humans the RNA component can be one of four small RNAs -- hY1, hY3, hY4 and hY5. Lineage: Eukaryota; Metazoa; Chordata; Mammalia; Primates; Lemuridae. The record is from Rfam by way of RNAcentral.